UCUGAAGUUUCCUGGAUCCCCAAUAAACAUUACUCUGGGAUUUAUGGUCUGAUGAAGCUUGUCCUGACCAAGACUCUUCCUGCCAACCUGGAGAGAGUCAUCGUCCUUGACACGGAUAUCACCUUUGCCACUGACAUUGCAGAGCUGUGGGCUGUGUUCCACAAGUUCAAAGAUGAGAAUGGUGGUCGUAUGUACUAGACUCCCACAUUUUCCUUUGGGAAUAAAGGCCUUAUUACGCCAGCUGCUGGGAGCAGUCCCUGCAGCGGGGGCUCUCAGAAAAGGCAUCAGCCCUUUUUGCAGUUGCCUCUGUUGAAGUGAGUGGCCAUGCCUGUGGCCACACCCCUUCCUGGGACGCCCCACAUCACGGAAUGGCUGAUGAACAUGAGGUCCUGCGGGAUCAUCUGCCACACUCGGAUACUGCCUCACAGGCUGAUUUUCCCCUCUGCCUAGUCCUGCUUUCUCCCCUUCCCUUUCAUAGGUGCUGUUCUCAAGAGCUCUCUCUAAUAAACCUCUUGUAUGCUGA
RNAcentral lists this small RNA (523 nucleotides) under Pan troglodytes (chimpanzee). RNAcentral describes it as "processed transcript". Lineage: Eukaryota; Metazoa; Chordata; Mammalia; Primates; Hominidae. The record is from RNAcentral.